RNAcentral lists this unclassified non-coding RNA (319 nucleotides) under Hevea brasiliensis (rubber tree). Lineage: Eukaryota; Viridiplantae; Streptophyta; Magnoliopsida; Malpighiales; Euphorbiaceae. The record is from RNAcentral.
CAUGUGUCAUCAGAGGUUCUACUUGUUACUUUGUCACAUUCUUUUGAUAGGAAUCAUGUACUAAUUAAACUAGAAAUUCUUUAAUUAUGUAUAUGUGAAAAGAGUGGCUACUGGUAAUUUCUUAGAUGUUUGUUAGGUGAUGUAUUGAACAGCUUUAGAUUUCUGCAAAUGAAAUGUAUCAAUUAGUUUUGUCCAUCAUAGGCAGUUGCAUGCAUAACAUGUGUCAGCCCACUUACAGUUCAAACAGUAAUUGAACUAGUUAAAAUCAUUUUAUCGCAAUGCUGCACUUCAACUAAUUUUAUCCUAGAAGCAUUACAAA